GCAUAUCAAUAAGCGGAGGAAAAGAAACCAACAGGGAUUACCUCAGUAACGGCGAAGUGAAGCGGUAACAGCUCAAAUUUGAAAUCUGGCAGCAAUGUCCGAGUUGUAAUUUGUAGAGGAUGUUUCGAGCAUGGUCUGGCCUAAGUUCCUUGGAACAGGACGUCAUAGAGGGUGAGAAUCCCGUAUGCGGUCAGGUGCCUACGCUCAUGUGAAACUCCUUCGACGAGUCGAGUUGUUUGGGAAUGCAGCUCAAAAUGGGUGGUAAAUUUCAUCUAAAGCUAAAUAUUGGCCAGAGACCGAUAGCGCACAAGUAGAGUGAUCGAAAGAUGAAAAGCACUUUGGAAAGAGAGUUAAACAGUACGUGAAAUUGUUGAAAGGGAAGCGCUUGCAACCAGACUUGCACGCAGUUAAUCAUCCGCUGUUCUCAGUGGUGCACUUGAUUGCGUUCAGGCCAGCAUCGGUUUUGGUGGUGGGAUAAAGGCCUUAGGAAUGUAGCUGCUUUCGGGCAGUGUUAUAGCCUAGGGUGCAAUGCCGCCUACUGGGACCGAGGACCGCGCUUCGGCUAGGAUGCUGGCGUAAUGGUUGUAAGCGACCCGUCUUGAAACACGGACCAAGGAGUCUAACAUCUAUGCGAGUGUUUGGGUGUCAAACCCAUACGCGUAAUGAAAGUGAACGGAGGUCAGAACCCUUAAGGGUGCAUGAUCGACCGGUCCUGAAGUCUUCGGAUGGAUCUGAGUAAGAGCAUAGCUGUUGGGACCCGAAAGAUGGUGAACUAUGCCUGAAUAGGGUGAAGCCAGAGGAAACUCUGGUGGAGGCUCGCAGCGGUUUCUGACGUGCAAAUCGAUCGUCAAAUUUGGGGUAUAGGGGCGAAAGACUAAUCGAACCAUCUAGUAGCUGGUUCUGCGA
This 906-nucleotide ribosomal RNA is filed under the name Thelebolus polysporus. Its description in RNAcentral is "LSU rRNA". It matches the Rfam family "Eukaryotic large subunit ribosomal RNA", at positions 38 to 964 of the family's 3401-position model. The record is from RNAcentral. Lineage: Eukaryota; Fungi; Ascomycota; Leotiomycetes; Thelebolales; Thelebolaceae.